CAGGUUAAAGUCCUGGCAAGAAUU
This 24-nucleotide transfer RNA is filed under the name Trematomus eulepidotus (blunt scalyhead). RNAcentral's name for it is "partial tRNA-Glu". Lineage: Eukaryota; Metazoa; Chordata; Actinopteri; Perciformes; Nototheniidae. The record is from RNAcentral.